This 530-nucleotide ribosomal RNA is filed under the name uncultured bacterium. RNAcentral describes it as "bacterial SSU rRNA". It matches the Rfam family "Bacterial small subunit ribosomal RNA", at positions 777 to 1315 of the family's 1533-position model. The record is from RNAcentral.
AAUAGAUACCCAGGUAGUCCACGCCGUAAACGAUGGAUACUAGCUGUCCGGCGCAAGCUGGGUGGCUAAGCGAAAGUGAUAAGUAUCCCACCUGGGGAGUACGUUCGCAAGAAUGAAACUCAAAGGAAUUGACGGGGGCCCGCACAAGCGGUGGAGCAUGUGGUUUAAUUCGAUGAUACGCGAGGAACCUUACCAGGGCUUAAAUGUAGUGGGACAGGUCCAGAGAUGGGCCCUUCUUCGGACUCAUUACAAGGUGCUGCAUGGUUGUCGUCAGCUCGUGCCGUGAGGUGUCAGGUUAAGUCCUAUAACGAGCGCAACCCCUGUCGUUAGUUGCCAGCGAGUGAAGUCGGGAACUCUAACGAGACUGCCGGUGCAAACCGUGAGGAAGGUGGGGAUGACGUCAAAUCAUCACGGCCCUUACGUCCUGGGCUACACACGUGCUACAAUGGCCGGUACAGAGAGCAGCCACGCCGCAAGGCGGAGCGAAUCUACAAAACCGGUCACAGUUCGGAUCGGGGUCUGCAACUCGA